RNAcentral lists this ribosomal RNA (253 nucleotides) under uncultured bacterium. RNAcentral's name for it is "partial 16S ribosomal RNA". It matches the Rfam family "Bacterial small subunit ribosomal RNA", at positions 524 to 776 of the family's 1533-position model. The record is from RNAcentral.
UACGUAGGGCGCAAGCGUUGUCCGGAAUUAUUGGGCGUAAAGAGCUCGUAGGCGGCCAGUUGCGUCCGCUGUGAAAUCCCGGGGCUUAACCCCGGGCGUGCAGUGGAUACGGGCUGGCUAGAGGCAGGCAGGGGAGAACGGAAUUCCCGGUGUAGCGGUGAAAUGCGUAGAUAUCUGGAGGAACACCGGUGGCGAAGGCGGCAUCCUGGACCAACACUGACGCUGAUGAGCGAAAGCCAGGGGAGCAAACGGG